GCCUCUUUAGCUCAGUGGUUGAGCACUGGUCUUGUAAACCAGGGGUCGUUAGUUCUAAUCUCACAGGAGGCA
Ctenocephalides felis (cat flea) is the source of this 72-nucleotide non-coding RNA. The record is from the annotation of a RefSeq genome assembly. NCBI's taxonomy places the organism in Eukaryota, Metazoa, Arthropoda, Insecta, Siphonaptera, Pulicidae.